RNAcentral lists this long non-coding RNA (1230 nucleotides) under Lathyrus oleraceus (garden pea). Its description in RNAcentral is "Pisum sativum (pea) long non-coding RNA (PSAT_LNC020344)". The record is from RNAcentral. Lineage: Eukaryota; Viridiplantae; Streptophyta; Magnoliopsida; Fabales; Fabaceae.
AGUUUUUCAAUUUUUUAAAAUAACCAUUUUUUUAAAAAUAUUUACCAAAAUAAUCAUUUUUCAAAAAAUAUCUAACCUAGGCAUCAGUUGCAUUGGUACAUUCAAUGAAAAUAUUAUUCAUUGGCGCCACAUGCAAUGACGUAUGCAUAUGAAAGCGACACAUGCAAUGGAGUGUAUUGUUGGAUGAAAUGUAACUUUUAACUUUUAAAGAAGAUAAAAGUAAGAAGCGGUAAAUUAGUUUGUUUUUUAUUAUUUCUUUUACUCUUUGUAGCUCUCCUAUAGAGUAUAGAUUUUAUAACAAUUGAUUUAAAUUUUAUUUUAUAAAAUAAGGUUGAUAAGUUAACUCAUAGUGUUUGUCCAUUUUAACAAGUAAAAUCAGAUAAUGAUAUCAAAAGAUGAAAUCAAAUUUCAAGUAGAAAUAAAAUGAACAAAAUAAAGUAUUGUGUGUUACAUUUCCGUAGAUAUAUAUGAAUGUUACGCGUUGUAUGGAAAAUCUCGAUGAAUUAAGGUACCCAAUGGAAAGGAAAAUCGUGGGUGUUUGGUUAGUAAAUAGUUUCAGGUAGAUUUAUAAUUUAUCUGGUAUGUUUUAUCCAAUCUUAAAUUUCUAAGACUAUUCUUAUAGUUAUAUUACUAAAAAAUGGCAUAGGUUUUAUCCCUUUCGGAAAGCUCACUGAGGUGGAAGUAUUUCAUAUCACUCUAUUGAUUAUUUUUUAUGGGUAAGUUUUUCAUCCAAAUCCAACGAAGCUGGAUCACAGCGAGUCUAGAUUUAAAAUUCUAUAUUAUGAUUUUAAUAUAAAAAUUCUUAGGUUGUAAAAUAUUAUCAAGCUUCUUUUUUUAUAAAAUAUUUUAAUUAAUUUGGUAUUCAAUUUUUAGUGAAAUUUGAGCUCUAUAAUAAUAAAAUAUGUUUAUGUAUUGAGAAAAAUAUCCAAUUUGAUCAACUAUCUAACUAGGAUUAUAAAGUGCCUCCAUUCUCCCUAAAAUUCCCUUUUCCAAAAUUGAAAUUUACACUACUAAAUACCCUUAAUAGUAAUUAGCUUAAUAUUCCACAAACCACUCAAAUUCACUUGCUUCUCUCUCUCUCUUAUAACCAGUUUUUCAAUUUUUUAAAAUAUUUAUUUUUCUAAAAUAUUUACCAAAAUAAUCACUUUUCAAAACCUUACACAGGGUCCAGCUUCAGUACUAACAUAACUCCUUGCCAGCUACCAGAAAGUAUCACCCAUGGAUCUCAUC